Molecule: ribosomal RNA, 459 nt
Filed under: uncultured bacterium
Lineage: Bacteria
Description: bacterial SSU rRNA
Rfam family: Bacterial small subunit ribosomal RNA
Source: RNAcentral
AACGAACGCUGGCGGCAUGCCUAACACAUGCAAGUCGAACGGGAUCCUAGCUUGCUAGGUGAGAGUGGCGGACGGGUGAGUAACACGUGGGAAUCUGCCUUUUGGUUCGGGAUAACCGCGGGAAACUGCGGCUAAUACCGAAUGCCCUCGAGAGAGGAAAGAUUUAUCGCCAGAAGAGGAGCCCGCGUCCGAUUAGGUAGUUGGUGGGGUAAAAGGCCUACCAAGCCGACGAUCGGUAGCUGGUCUGAGAGGAUGAUCAGCCACACUGGGACUGAGAUACGGCCCAGACUCCUACGGGAGGCAGCAGUGGGGAAUAUUGGACAAUGGGGGCAACCCUGAUCCAGCAAUGCCGCGUGAGUGAUGAAGGCCUUAGGGUUGUAGAGCUCUUUUGCCAGGGAAGAUGAUGACUGUACCUGGAGAAUAAGCCCCGGCUAACUUCGUGCCAGCAGCCGCGGUAAU